Molecule: long non-coding RNA, 667 nt
Filed under: Homo sapiens (human)
Lineage: Eukaryota; Metazoa; Chordata; Mammalia; Primates; Hominidae
Description: HSALNT0058966
Source: RNAcentral
CAGGACUGGCAGGCAGCUCCACCUGCAGCCCCGGUGCGGGAUCCACUGGGUGAAGCCAGCUGGGCUUCUGAGUCUGGUGGGGACAUGGAGAACCUUUAUGUGUAGCUCAGGGAUUGUAAAUACACCAAUCAGCACCCUGUGUCUAGCUCAGGGUUUGUGAAUGCACCAAUGGACACUCUGUACCUAGCUACUCUGGUGGGGCCUUGGAGAACCUUUAUGUCUAGCUCAGGGAUUGUAAAUACACUGAUCAGCACUCUGUAUCUAGCUCAAGGUUUGUAAACACACCAAUCAGCACCCUGUGUCUAGCUCAGGGUUUGUGAAUGCACCAAUCUACACUCUGUAUCUAGCUACUCUGGUGGGGCCUUGGAGAACCUUUAUGUCUAGCUCAGGGAUUGUAAAUACACCAAUCGGCACUCUGUAUCUAGCUCAAGGUUUGUAAACACACCAAUCAGCACCCUGUGUCUAGCUCAGGGUUUGUGAAUGCACCAAUGGACACUCUGUAUCUAGCUACUCUGGUGGGGACUUAGAGAACCUUUAUGUCCACACUCUGUGUCUAGCUAAUCUAGUGGGGACGUGGAGAACCUUUGUGUCUAGCUCAGGAAUUGUAAACACACCAAUCAGCGCCCUGUCAAAACAGACCAGGCCUCUACCAAUCAGCAGGAUGUGG